This 451-nucleotide ribosomal RNA is filed under the name uncultured bacterium. Its description in RNAcentral is "bacterial SSU rRNA". It matches the Rfam family "Bacterial small subunit ribosomal RNA", at positions 28 to 446 of the family's 1533-position model. The record is from RNAcentral.
GAUGAACGCCGGCGGUGUGCCUAAUACAUGCAAGUCGUACGCACUGGCCCAACUGAUUGAUGGUGCUUGCACCUGAUUGACGAUGGAUCACCAGUGAGUGGCGGACGGGUGAGUAACACGUAGGUAACCUGCCCCGGAGCGGGGGAUAACAUUUGGAAACAGAUGCUAAUACCGCAUAACAACAAAAGCCACAUGGCUUUUGUUUGAAAGAUGGCUUUGGCUAUCACUCUGGGAUGGACCUGCGGUGCAUUAGCUAGUUGGUAAGGUAACGGCUUACCAAGGCGAUGAUGCAUAGCCGAGUUGAGAGACUGAUCGGCCACAAUGGAACUGAGACACGGUCCAUACUCCUACGGGAGCAGCAGUAGGGAAUCUUCCACAAUGGGCGCAAGCCUGAUGGAGCAACACCGCGUGAGUGAAGAAGGUUCGGNUCGAAAGCUCUGUUGUUGGAGAA